CUUAUGUCACAUUCCAUGCAUACAUUUGUUUUGCAUCCUUUGGUCAUUUUGUUCAUGACAUAGUAGUUUUACACAACUGGGCUUUGAAAUAAUAAGCUUUGUUUAACAUUCAUUAACACAAAUUGGUUUGAGAAUGAAAGAUUUUUAAUUAGAAUAAAUUGCAUACACUUGAGUUUUUGAGCAUAAAGUCAAAAUACAAGUCUAUGGUCAAUAUGGCAAGGUUGACUUUAAAAUGCAUUUCAUAGAUUUUGAAUAUCACAUAUUUUACUACAUUACAUACAUUUUAAAUAAAAACAAAAAAAGAAGAAAUUAAAAAAAGGAAAAAAGAGUCUCAAGCUUGUUUUGGCCCACACGACCUCUUCCUUGCUUUGCUAACUUGG
This 380-nucleotide long non-coding RNA is filed under the name Lathyrus oleraceus (garden pea). Its description in RNAcentral is "Pisum sativum (pea) long non-coding RNA (PSAT_LNC002928)". Lineage: Eukaryota; Viridiplantae; Streptophyta; Magnoliopsida; Fabales; Fabaceae. The record is from RNAcentral.